GUGAACAUAAAACUUUAAAACAUACAAAGUACCAAGAAAUCUAAUAUUUUCCUUGUUUAGGUACUUGUGAGAUUGCUAGUAUGCUUAAUUUGAUGUCUUUACACAGGUUAAAAAACUAUUAAGUGAUCUUUUUACUGGUCUUCAUUUUGAGGAGCGAAACAACAUUGAAUUUAAAUAUUGCAAAAUUUCCUUGCGUUAUCUGUAAAUAGGAUUGCUUUUGCAUUUUGUCAUUUGUUUCCUAGAAGGUUUAUUGGGGCAACAAUGGGCUU
RNAcentral lists this unclassified non-coding RNA (269 nucleotides) under Hevea brasiliensis (rubber tree). Lineage: Eukaryota; Viridiplantae; Streptophyta; Magnoliopsida; Malpighiales; Euphorbiaceae. The record is from RNAcentral.